RNAcentral lists this long non-coding RNA (7869 nucleotides) under Brassica napus (rape). RNAcentral describes it as "long non-coding RNA (BNAP_LNC003480)". Lineage: Eukaryota; Viridiplantae; Streptophyta; Magnoliopsida; Brassicales; Brassicaceae. The record is from RNAcentral.
CCCGAUGGGACAAUAAUAAUGAAGAUACAACCGAGUAGACAAAAUUGUUUGUCUGAAGAGAGUCAUAUUGUGUGGAACCAAGGCAAACUUGUUCAGAAUAUGUUCCUUAGGCUUCAGCACGUGGAAUGUGGAGAAGUUGAGAUACACCUCGAGUGGAUCGAUAUCCCCGGUUCAAGGGGUAUUUAAGUCAGACCCCGCUUAGGACGUGUGCUAAUAGUGCAAAUGCACAGAACCCGACAUUUUUAUUAGUUUUUCUUGGUAUUUUAAGUCUUAAUUGAUUCUUUGUAAACAAAAGUUUUUAUAGACCCAAAUUUUGAUUUAAAGAAUUUGGGCAGCAGAGGGCCAUAGAACUCUGAUGCGGUUUAAAACUGGUCUGUGAAAGAUCUCAAAAUAGUUUUUUUCAUUUUUUUGGGCUAAAUUGUACAUAUCAUUACAAAAAUAAAUGUUAAGGUUUACAAGAUUUUUAAAACAAAUUGUAUCAAUUCUAGGCUUGAUUACACGGCAAAAAAGUUUAAAUACAUGUAAUCAAACACAAUCAAAACUGAAGCCAUUCCGCUUGGAAGCGAACAAGACAGUAGAGAACGAUAUAAUCGUGAUAAGCAGGUGAGAGAUCAAACCGAAAUAAGCAAGGAUGGAGAGACCCUCGACUAGAGAUCGAGAGCAUGACACGAGCAAGAAGAUGUUUCACUUGGCUGCCUGAAUAAUUAACUUCCUCGUAGAAACAUAGACAAGCCCACUUAUGGCAUGUCAAUCAAGGGAUUUGUGGCAAACUAGAGAACUUAUUGCAACACGUAAAUGACAAAGCAUCAGAACUCACCAAUGUUGGUGAUUCAAACGUUCUACUAUUCGGUAGUCUUAUACUUUUUGGAUCUUUGAUAAAUAACAGAAGUAAAAGUUAUAUGACUUAUCCAAAGCUAAUGAUUUACUUUGGAAACAAUACAUGGUUAUGCAUAGUUAACAUACACAAAACAUAACACUUGUUCAAUAUACGUUUGUUAUUUCUUGCUGCAUUUAACUGCAGCUACUCCAUCAACUCUUUUAAUUCCAACAAGACACUGUUGAAAACAUGUACUCAGCAAUUAGGGUUCGAUAACCUCGUGCUUACCAAGAUGAAACUAUCAUUUCAAAAACGAAAAACUAAUGGAAAGUAUGACAGCAGAAAGUGUGAUGACUGCUUACCAUCACCUUUCACAUCUUCUUGAAGCAUGGAUUCUCCUCUAGGAUGAACGUUAAUCCACUUCUAAUUCUAGGAUCUUUGGUCUGGAAAUUUUUGUAGGAAACAUCCUAUUAGGUUGUACGCUACCAAGCUCGUGUCGUCACAAUGGAGAGAAAGGUACUGGUUCUUCUUUCUUUUGAGUGGAUUCUGCAGACCAUGAUUGUAAUAACCCUCAUGAGCCAAUAAAUUUUUGGUCGAGAAAAAUCCCGCUCGACCAGUUUUUAGUUGGUUUAACAAGGAUUCAUAAAAAUAAAAAUCGACCCGGUAGAUUAAUUUCUCGAAGGGACUGUCGUGUGGUUGAAAGACCUUCACUUGAUAGUUUGGUCGAGUCUUAAAUAUUUUGGUCGAAUUUUUAUUAAACUGGAAGAGAUUUUCCGAGAACAAGACGAGAGCCAAAGAAAGGAAUAUUUGGUUGAAAAAUUAUUGAAAAUUAUCAACCAACUGCUACAAUUAAUUUUGGACCAGACUCAUGUCUUCCACCAGCCUGCUUGCUCAGUCUUUAAUCACAUGACUUGCACCUACCUGCUUGCCUAGCUUCUUCAGUAACUGUCACAUGACAAUCACAAGCUGCCUGCUUACCUUGUUUCUUAGAUUGUCAUGUGAGAAGCACAUGAAAAGGCUGGAGUUUCUUCAGGUUAAGGAAAGGACAGCAGCUUGUGCUGAGAGUGCUGAAGCAGCUGGCUAGCUGUCCCCACUCAGCUUAGCUUUGUCCUGAGUGAAACCCUCACCUGAAGCAAGCUCACCUCAUAUUUAACCCCUCUCCAGCUGCUUCCCACGUUCAGAACCCUACAGAAAAACCUAGAGAAUUUCAGAGAGAAAGAGAGAAAGAAGAACAGAAAAAUCAGUGAGAAAAAUCAAGAAAAUAAAUCAAGAAAAAAUUGGUGGUGACCUAAUCUUCAACCUUAGCUUAGUUUCUUACCUUGAGAAAGAUCAGAAGGUGAGAUUUUUAAAUAAAACCCUAGACCUAGUUGAGUUCAGAUCAUGAUCAGACCUUGAUCUUUCUCUUUGAUCAGUCCAGCCACAAGCUUACCUUGGAGAAGAGGAUCAGCUNNNNNNNNNNNNNNNNNNNNNNNNNNNNNNNNNNNNNNNNNNNNNNNNNNNNNNNNNNNNNNNNNNNNNNNNNNNNNNNNNNNNNNNNNNNNNNNNNNNNNNNNNNNNNNNNNNNNNNNNNNNNNNNNNNNNNNNNNNNNNNNNNNNNNNNNNNNNNNNNNNNNNNNNNNNNNNNNNNNNNNNNNNNNNNNNNNNNNNNNNNNNNNNNNNNNNNNNNNNNNNNNNNNNNNNNNNNNNNNNNNNNNNNNNNNNNNNNNNNNNNNNNNNNNNNNNNNNNNNNNNNNNNNNNNNNNNNNNNNNNNNNNNNNNNNNNNNNNNNNNNNNNNNNNNNNNNNNNNNNNNNNNNNNNNNNNNNNNNNNNNUUGAUUGUUUGCAGUUUUUAAAAUGGUUUUUGGUUUUCGAUUUUCUAAAAUCUACUUUUUUACCGAUCAAGAUUUUUGAAAAAUAGAUUCCCUAAAAUUUAGGGAAACCAGAUUUUGAAAUAACUACCUACUUCUUAGCAAAAACUAAAAACCACAUUUUUUUGGUUUCCUUAAACAAUGUACGUAACUUUUGUUUUUUGUUUUUUUUUUAAUAUUAUUUCUAUAUUUGAGCAUUAAUAUAGUAUAAAUAAAUAAAAAUAGAUUAGUGAUAAUUUAGUAACUAUUCCAAAUUACUAAGAAUCAACAAAAAAUGUUGUCUAUCAUUUAAAUUUAAAUUCUAAAACUACAAAAUAAUCUAUAUCAGUAAAAAAAAAAUUCUUUUUAGGAUAUAAAGGGCCUUUUUAAUAAUAAUUUUUAUUUUUAUUAAAAUAACUUAGAAUAAAAUUUAAGAAGAAUAAUAUUUAUAACACAGCUUAAUUUUACCAAAGCUAUUACAGUUGAAUAAUAUUUUAUCUAAUAAUGAACCGAUAGCCACAUUUUUUAAUUUAAUUUAUUAAAUUAUAAAAAAAUUUAAUAAAAAAUUAAAAAUAAUUAAUAAAAAAAAGAAAUUUAAUUUCUAAAAUUUAGCAAAUACAAAAAAAAUAUGUAUAAAUUUAGUUGUAUUAAUGUACCUUUUAAUAAUUUUAGCUAGAUUAUGUAUAAAUAUAGUAAAAUUAUAAAACAAAGUAUAUAUAACUUAUGUUUAAACACAUAAUUAAAAUUCUAAGUUUAUGUUUAAACAUAAAAUUAUAUUUGUUUUUGCUGUUUUUUGUAAAAAAAAUAAGCUUAUGUGUGUUUUGGUAAUGAUAUUAUAUUUUUUAUUUCCAUAAUAAAUAUUUUACUAUUGAUAAUAUUUUCAUUUCAUUAUUUUGUAAACAAAAGCCAAAAACUAAAAACUAAAAUCUAAAAUCACAAAUCAUGUUUUUCAAAAAACUAAUAUCUACUGCAAAAUCAAAAACCAAAAACCAAAAACCAAAAUCUAAAAUCCAAAAACUAAAAAUUAAAAACCAAAAACCAAAAUCCAAAAACUAGAAACCAAACAAACAAUCAUCACCUAAAUGGGUUUGUACAAAAUUUGUGGAUCUAAAUGGGUACACCUAAUAGAUCUAUUUUUAAAUGGAUCUAAACGGAUAUGGAUUUUAAAUGGGGUGGGUCUUAAACGGGGUGGGUUUAAAUGAGUUGGAUUUUACCAUUUUAACAUCCCUAAGGGGAACUGACGGGAGACGAUUUAUACAAGUACCUAGUUGGAUUGCCAAUCUCUCACCAUCUCUCAGCUUUGUACUUAGGAAAGGAUUUAAAGGGUUGGAUCUUUAUCUAAGCCCACAUAUAACACAAUCAUGAAGUAAGUCAUUACAUUGAUUGGCAGAUAAUGUUCAAAAACGACAGCAAACAAAGACAGAACAGAAACAAGCAGACAGACCCAACCAAAUACCAUCACUUCAUUAAUUCCUCUCUCAAGGUAAUCAACUUGGCCACCCUGGCCUCUAUUUCAUCCGCAUUUGGCAUUUCUUCGAUGUAAACCUGACAAAAAAACGAGAAGAGGAAUUAUAUAGGGAAGAUUAGAAAGAAAGAAAGAAGAAAAGACUUUUAACAGUUUAACCACGCUAUUUACCUGUUCAAGUUGCCGAAGUCCCUUUGAAGAAAAACCCAAACAACAGAGUUUUAUGAAGAAGAUUGUUUCUAUUGAAACCAAAAUAAAUAAUAAUAAUAAUAAUUAAAAAAAAAAGCUUACAAACCACAUACCGAGCAGGAAUCCAGCACCACCAAAGACCGUUUUAAAGCAGUAUCCAUAAAAUUUCGAGACAGCUAACAAAUAAACAAACAAAAAAAGCUGAUUCCAACAAAAAUUAGGAACAAAAAAAAAAACUGAUUGAAGGAGAAAUUUUGAUAUGCCAAUAAAUGAGAUACCUUUCUGAUCACUCACGGAUGAAAAAUCACGAUACUGUAGCCUCCCCUUGCCACAAGACUGCAUAUUUAUUCGUUUAAUUCAACCUCAGUGAACAGAGACAAAGGCAAAAUAAAAUCAAACACAGCAAGAGAGACAAGAUCUAUCGAUUACCUUAGCCAAUGUGUUUCCCAGGAAACGCAACAUCUUCUUUUGUCCUCGUCGAAUUGGAGAGUCUAGGGUUUUCGAGAUUGAGGAUCUUGGUUCCAAAUUUAUGAUUAACUAGUAUUACUCCCGUGCCUUGCACGAGUCAAAUCUAUUAGGUUUUUAUAAUAUUUCCUUCUUUUCCAAAACAUUGCCAAAAUCAUCAUCCUAGUGUGUAAGUUUCCUAUAUGAAUACAGAAAAAAUAAAUGUAUUAGUAAACUAGUAUUCGACGAAUAUUCAAUGUUAUUAACUAUACAAUAAUAAGUUCAAAAUUUCAUUAUAUAUAGUAUUCGAAGAAUCCUUACGUAGGUAUCAAACUACAGUAUUUGAUGUAGUAUUCGACAAAAUUUCAAACUACAGUAUUCAAAAUUACGUAGUGAUCAAACUACGUUACGUAGUGACGAAUCCUUACGUAGUGAUCAAAGUACAGUAUUCAUAAUUUCAUUAUGGGUGUGAUUGGUAGUGGCUGUGAGUUCUCUCUACAGCCUCAUUUCUUUCUAGAGCACUAAAUCUACACCAAUCUUGAUUUCUAUUUUUUUUAAAGUUCACAGCCAUUUUAUAAAAUCCACAGCGCUUCUUUGAAUUUUUGUCUUUACAAUUUCUCUGCAGAGACAAAAACCUACAGCCCAAAUUUAAAGACUUUUAAAAAUUAAAAAUCUAAAGCCAAAGCAAUAAAAACCACAGCAAUAUUUCUACAGUCAAAAAAUGAAAUCACAGCACUUACCAAUCAACCCCGUAAUCAACUCAAUUAAAUACAUAAAUUUUAAAUUAAAUAAUAACAUCUUUAAGAAUGAAAAGCAUAGUAUCCUAAUUUUUAGAUUAAAGAUUAACUCUAAAUAAUCCAUCACAAAAAUUUCAUUGCUUUAUACGCAGUCAUUUAUUGUACUACUUUAACAAAUACUUUUAACACCUUUUUGAAACAAAAUAUGUAAUUAAACUUUAAUUAUGCAAAAUAAAAUUAAUAACUUUUUUUCUUCAAGAAGUUAUCUAUAUAAUACAUAUGUCAUAAUCCAGUAUCAUUGUGAGAGAAGAAUAAAUAUAACAUUGACUUGUCAACUAUAUAUCAGUCAACGAGAAAGUAAAAGAUAAAUAACGAGUAUAUAUAUGUUUGUCAUUUUUUUGUCAUAAAUAAUGAGUAUAGAGAUUAGAGAGAGAGAGAGAGAUAUAGUUUAUAAAUCAUUAUUUUUUUUUUGUACUUUUGAUGAGUUAUAAAUUAGAUUAGAAAUUUAUUUUACAAACAAAAUGUUUUACUUUUAUAAUUUCUACAACAAGAGAUGUAUGACAAGAGUAAAAAUUUAAACAAAAUUUUCAGUUCUAGUAGAGUACAAAAAUAAAAUCCGACAUACGGUGUGUAUUAACCAAAAGAAGAAUAGACUAUCCAAGAUUCAGGAUUGUGUUUUGAUCUCAUGAAUGAAUUGAUUUACACAGAAAAGGAAAUACAAAAUUAUUCGGGCAAUUCUCUCAAAUAUCCAAUUUUUUUUUGAAUUUUUGUCACAAAAUAGUAUUAAAAAAAGACCAAAAUAGCUCUUUUUUUUAAAGAUUUUAAUAUUUAUUUUUUAUUUUUUAAAAAUUUGAAACUCUAUCUCCGAAAUUCUACCCUUUAACUUUAAACUUUAAGUCUAUAUUAGUUAAUCGUAGAGUAAAAAUACAUUUUCUUCGUUAAAAACUAUUUUUGCGACAAAAACUUAAAAAAUGCUAUGGUAUGAAAUUUCUCAAAUUUAUUUUGGGUAAUGUUGACCGGAUAAUAUGUAGCAUAAAAAAGUGUUUGCCCAAGUGCAUUUAGUGAUACUUAUUGUAAUUAAACCAAAUUUUAGUAAUUGUAAUUAGCUAAUUGUGAUGGGUCAUUACGCGUCGCUAAAUUCCGCCCCUACCACAUUAAUAAAACGAUUAAUAUUGUCAUAGUAUGAUUAUAAUAAUAAUAAUAUUGUCUUUUUGUCCAAAAUGGACAGUCAAUAUAGACAAAGUCAGAGGUGGCGAAAACCUUUACGACAAUGAAUAAUUAAUAUAAUAAUUUGUCUCUUAUUGAUGUGUAAACCAGACGAUACUUCUGAGUUCCGUCUCUCUUCUGAAGCCGCUAUAUAUACCAACUCGAGAAACAAGUUUAACUCACAGAAAAAACAAGUUUGCUAUUGACAAGAAAAAACAAUGGAGAAUCUAUUGGGACUUCUCAGAAUUCAUGUGAAGAGAGGUGUGAAUCUCGCCAUUAGAGAUAUCUCAAGCAGUGAUCCUUACGUCGUCGUUCACUCAGGAAAACAGGUAAAAGACUCGAUUAUGAUGCCAUUUCUAAAUAAAUCUUGUGAUGCAUCUUUUCCAACAUAACUUGUAAAGAUAGCUGCAUAAAAGUAAUUGGACAAGAAGACUUAAGUUCAUGUUCAUAUUUGUUGGUUCUCGUACCAUAUGAUUUAUUGGUAUAUUCGUAAUUUUUUACUCUAAGUCACCAAUUUUUCUUUCUUCGUUUCCUACAUCACAAAUCUUCUGGUUCCACCAUAAUAUGAUUGAAAAUGAUGACCUCUCUGUCGCCUUGUGAUCAAUCAAAAGCAUUCUUAAUUUUGUCCUUCUGAUUUGAUGCAGAAGCUUAAAACACGCGUGGUGAAACACAGUCUUAACCCCGAUUGGAACGACCAUUUAACGCUUUCUGUGACUGAUCCAAAUCUCCCUGUUAAACUUGUAAGUGAUUCUUACAUUUUUGGUUAGCAUGAAGGUUAAAUUAGCGGGCUUUACUAGAAAUUAAGCAUUCUUGUUGUUAAUUAUUCACACAGACGGUUUAUGACUAUGACUUGCUCUCCGCGGAUGACAAGAUGGGUGAAGCUGAGUUUAACAUUGCUGCAUAUCUUGAAGCCAUUAAAUUCCGCCAUGCGCUCGAAGGAGGACUUCCCGAUGGGACAAUAAUAAUGAAGAUACAACCGAGUAGACAAAAUUGUUUGUCUGAAGAGAGUCAUAUUGUGUGGAACCAAGGCAAACUUGUUCAGAAUAUGUUCCUUAGGCUUCAGCACGUGGAAUGUGGAGAAGUUGAGAUACACCUCGAGUGGAUCGAUAUCCCCGGUUCAAGGGGUAUUUAAGUCAGACCCCGCUUAGGACGUGUGCUAAUAGUGCAAAUGCACAGAACCCGACA